Molecule: long non-coding RNA, 2021 nt
Filed under: Homo sapiens (human)
Lineage: Eukaryota; Metazoa; Chordata; Mammalia; Primates; Hominidae
Description: HSALNT0323330
Source: RNAcentral
CAGCGUCCGGCCGUCCCAACACCUCCUCCUCCGGCCACUCGCUGAGUAGCGUCGGCGCCUAUUGGGCGGCGUGGGAACGGUGGGCGGGCCGGGACUGGGUCUCGAGGAGGAGGAGGGGUGCGAGGUGCCUGGCUCUGAGGGCCGCCGGGGCUGUGAAGCCUGUCAUUAGCGAUUAGCUCACGUCAGUCACUCACGCAUCCCUGUUUGCCCUGCUGCUGACCUCGCGCGAGGCGGCCACCUUGUGGGAGAUGUUUUCGUGAGGCAACAGACGCUGGCCGUUCCCAGCGUCACGCAGAGUUCGGAUCCACUCUAGCGAGAGACCACAGCGUCCGGGAGCAGCUUGUGAAACUCUGGCGAGCGUCAGCCUUGAAAAUAAAAAGUAUUGGCAGCCGUCGACGAGCACAGGUUCCUAAAACUUAGAUCGAAGAGAAGUACCAGCCUUCAAAAAUAAACCAGCACCAAAAGCCCCCUGUGCUUAUAGGUGACGUGCGGGCUGGGAGUGCAGUGGUGUCACCUCGCCUUGUAUGUCAUCGCCGGUUGUGUGCCUAACAUACAUACAAAAAGGAUAACUCGAAUUUAGCCAUCACGCAUUUUCAAAAAUACUGCUUGGAAAUUGAAUGUUUGGAGAAAAGAUAUAAUCUGGGGUUUCUACACGGUCUGAAUUGGGUUCAUUUCCGUUUAGCAAACAUUUAUUGAGCUCCCAGCGUGGGUCACAGAAUUCAGUAAACCUGAUCCCGUGUUCAAGGUGCUAUAUUCCGAUGCAGGGCAGGGCGAUGCAGUGAAAGAAUGGUGGCCACAGCAGUAGCAUGCUAAUAGCCUGGUGGGCAGGUACAGGUUUUGCAUUUCUUUGGCGAGAUCACUUUUGAGUGUCUCCACUGGGUGGCAGAAUUAAGACCCGUGAACGUUUAAUAUCUCCUGUAUAUUUAGUAUAUUAUGAAUAUAUACUGAUUAAUGAAUAUUAAGUGCGUGUUGUAUAUCUUGUGCCUCAUGAAUAUUAAAUAUGACCUGGUCUUGCCAGCCUUUUCUAUUUUUACAUAUACGUGCUCCACCGACUGUUUUGCAGGCUAGGAACACGUGAGUUUUGUUCUCCUAUUUCUUCUAGGGCAGCAUUGAAUAUUCUCAAAGACAGUUCUGGGCUUCAGAGCUGGUAUAGUGCCCAUGGUGGUGAUCACAGUGCGGUCAAGCUUCUUAGGACCUCUUUCAUUACUUUUAUCCAGGUAGAGUUUGUAGAACUAUGGAAAUACCCAAGCACGAUUUUCUCUUACCUGGGACACUGUUGGCCAAGAUCUUUAGAUUCUUCUUAGAAAAUGUGGAAAAGCAGGCAAAAAUUUUUCCAAACCAAGUGGAAUUUUUCACAAGACAUUUACUCACAUUUUUUUUUCUCUCUCACUGUAGUUACGUAGCUAAUUUUGGAAAGGCACAUGGAUUUUGAGAAUGUAGACAGUAGUUGUGGUCUAUUAGUCAAUCUUACCUGCUUUCUAUAAGGAUGAAAAAUUAUUUCAUGGUAGUGUCGUAGUUUCUUAAUGGAGGAUUGUUCCAAGGAUCUCUCUUAAGUGUGCAAGAACAAGUCUAUUUGUACGUUUGGUUUUUUGUAAUAUUAUCCCUAUUAUGUACUACCUUAUUCCUUUAUAAGAACUUAAAGUCAUGGUCUCUGGCAUACAUAAUCAUCGCACCAGUAGUUCUCAAUCUUCACUUUGCAUCAGAGCCAUCUAGGGAGCUUCAGAAAAAUAUCCUUGCUUAGGUCCCACUCCCAGAAAUCCUGUCUUAAUUGUUUCAAUGUUGGACCUAAGCAUUCCUGUGUUUAACUCUUCCCAGUUGAUCCAAGGUGCUCAGUCAGAAACACUGUGUUACAUAUGGGGCAAUAUAUUUAAACAAUGUGGUAUGUGAUUGCUUGGUGAUAAAACAAUAGAUCGCAUCUGGGAAAAAACGUUCUCUGUAAUUCCUCUGGUGUUUUUGUCAGAGAAUCUGGUGAUGUUGAACUUCCUGUUCAACAGACUGGUGGGAGGAAACACAGGGUAAGC